Molecule: ribosomal RNA, 442 nt
Filed under: uncultured bacterium
Lineage: Bacteria
Description: partial 16S ribosomal RNA
Rfam family: Bacterial small subunit ribosomal RNA
Source: RNAcentral
CCUACGGGGGGCAGCAGUGGGGAAUAUUGGGCAAUGGGCGCAAGCCUGACCCAGCAACGCCGCGUGAAGGAAGAAGGCUUUCGGGAUGUAAACUUCUUUUGUCAGGGAAGAGUAGAAGACGGUACCUGAAGAAUAACCCACGGCUAACUACGUGCCAGCAGCCGCGGUAAUACGUAGGUGGCAAGCGUUGUCCGGAUUUACUGGGUGUAAAGGGCGUGUAGCCGGGUUGACAAGUCAGAUGUGAAAGCCUGCGGCUUAACCGCAGAACUGCACUUGAAACUGUUGAUCUUGAGUACUGGAGAGGCAGACGGAAGUCCUAGUGUAGCGGUGAAAUGCGUAGAUAUUAGGAGGAACACCAGUGGCGAAGGCGGUCUGCUGGACAGCAACUGACGGUGAGGCGCGAAAGCGUGGGGAGCAAACAGGAUUAGAUACCCUAGUAGUC